RNAcentral lists this ribosomal RNA (1288 nucleotides) under Vibrio cholerae. RNAcentral describes it as "partial 23S ribosomal RNA". It matches the Rfam family "Bacterial large subunit ribosomal RNA", at positions 1658 to 2925 of the family's 2925-position model. The record is from RNAcentral. Lineage: Bacteria; Pseudomonadati; Pseudomonadota; Gammaproteobacteria; Vibrionales; Vibrionaceae.
CACAGGUGGUCGGGUAGAGAAUACCAAGGCGCUUGAGAGAACUCGGGUGAAGGAACUAGGCAAAAUGGUACCGUAACUUCGGGAGAAGGUACGCUCUUGAUGGUGAAGUCCCUCGCGGAUGGAGCUGACGAGAGUCGCAGAUACCAGGUGGCUGCAACUGUUUAUUAAAAACACAGCACUGUGCAAAAUCGCAAGAUGACGUAUACGGUGUGACGCCUGCCCGGUGCCGGAAGGUUAAUUGAUGGGGUUAGCGCAAGCGAAGCUCUUGAUCGAAGCCCCGGUAAACGGCGGCCGUAACUAUAACGGUCCUAAGGUAGCGAAAUUCCUUGUCGGGUAAGUUCCGACCUGCACGAAUGGCGUAAUGAUGGCCACGCUGUCUCCACCCGAGACUCAGUGAAAUUGAAAUCGCUGUGAAGAUGCAGUGUACCCGCGGCUAGACGGAAAGACCCCGUGAACCUUUACUACAGCUUGGCACUGAACAUUGAACCUACAUGUGUAGGAUAGGUGGGAGGCUAUGAAGACGUGACGCCAGUUGCGUUGGAGCCGUCCUUGAAAUACCACCCUUGUAUGUUUGAUGUUCUAACUUAGACCCAUUAUCUGGGUUGAGGACAGUGCCUGGUGGGUAGUUUGACUGGGGCGGUCUCCUCCCAAAGAGUAACGGAGGAGCACGAAGGUGGGCUAAUCACGGUUGGACAUCGUGAGGUUAGUGCAAUGGCAUAAGCCCGCUUAACUGCGAGAAUGACGGUUCGAGCAGGUGCGAAAGCAGGUCAUAGUGAUCCGGUGGUUCUGUAUGGAAGGGCCAUCGCUCAACGGAUAAAAGGUACUCCGGGGAUAACAGGCUGAUACCGCCCAAGAGUUCAUAUCGACGGCGGUGUUUGGCACCUCGAUGUCGGCUCAUCACAUCCUGGGGCUGAAGUCGGUCCCAAGGGUAUGGCUGUUCGCCAUUUAAAGUGGUACGCGAGCUGGGUUUAGAACGUCGUGAGACAGUUCGGUCCCUAUCUGCCGUGGGCGUUGGAAGAUUGAAGGGGGCUGCUCCUAGUACGAGAGGACCGGAGUGGACGAACCUCUGGUGUUCGGGUUGUGUCGCCAGACGCAUUGCCCGGUAGCUAAGUUCGGAAUUGAUAAGCGCUGAAAGCAUCUAAGCGCGAAGCGAGCCCUGAGAUGAGUCUUCCCUGACAGUUUAACUGUCCUAAAGGGUUGUUCGAGACUAGAACGUUGAUAGGCAGGGUGUGUAAGCGUUGUGAGGCGUUGAGCUAACCUGUACUAAUUGCCCGUGAGGCUUAACCAU